Molecule: long non-coding RNA, 669 nt
Organism: Salvia splendens (bonfire salvia)
Lineage: Eukaryota; Viridiplantae; Streptophyta; Magnoliopsida; Lamiales; Lamiaceae
Exons: 2
Source: RefSeq, a predicted model, not a curated record
GAUUCUGCAGAGAUUUUCCUCCUCCGUAAUCUGCAAAUAAAAUACCAAACAAAUCCAAAUCGAAUCCCACUCCCAUUCCCACGUUGAAACCGCCUCUCCCCACUCCCUAAAUCUCUCACAUAUCUUUAACCACCCUCCCUCUAUAUUAUUCACUUCAAAUUAGUUUCUUUCUCCCAUUCGUUUUCUGUAAUCAAGAAAACAAGCUUCAUUCUUUCAAGAAACUGAGUUUGCAAAAUUCAGUGGGCUACUCCUUUCGGUCCUACAAUUUCACAACCAAUAUCUUGUUAUCGAGGUAAAACCCCUUCCCAAUUUCAAGUCAUGAACUUUUAGUAUACCCUUCGCAGCAUAUCAUCAUACAUCAGUCCCGCUGAACUCGGUAAUAAAUGAACAAUCUGGAAUCAAUCUUUAAUCGUUUUAAUCGAAACAAAACCGAAUAAAAAAUUGAACUUUUAACGAAUCACCGAGCGACGGCGGUAGUGCGGGGUGACGAAUCGGAGCCGGCAGCGACUGUUUCGGAAGCGGCGGUACUCACGGUGAAUCGGAGAAACUAUUUGUGUGAGUUCUGUUUUGGGGGAUGGAGAGAGUUGAGGGAGAAAGGGGGCCCGACGAGUUUGGGAAAUGGGGUAGUUGAUUCCUUGUUUUCAUUAUUUAUUAUUACUUUAAUAUUUA